This 253-nucleotide ribosomal RNA is filed under the name uncultured bacterium. Its description in RNAcentral is "partial 16S ribosomal RNA". It matches the Rfam family "Bacterial small subunit ribosomal RNA", at positions 524 to 776 of the family's 1533-position model. The record is from RNAcentral.
UACGGAGGGUGCAAGCGUUAUCCGGAUUCACUGGGUUUAAAGGGUGCGUAGGCGGGCAGGUAAGUCCGUGGUGAAAUCUCUGAGCUUAACUCAGAAACUGCCAUGGAUACUAUUUGUCUUGAAUACCGUGGAGGUUAGCGGAAUAUGUCAUGUAGCGGUGAAAUGCUUAGAUAUGACAUAGAACACCAAUUGCGAAGGCAGCUGGCUACACGAAUAUUGACACUGAUGCACGAAAGCGUGGGGAUCAAACAGG